RNAcentral lists this ribosomal RNA (460 nucleotides) under uncultured bacterium. RNAcentral's name for it is "partial 16S ribosomal RNA". It matches the Rfam family "Bacterial small subunit ribosomal RNA", at positions 338 to 795 of the family's 1533-position model. The record is from RNAcentral.
CCUACGGGAGGCAGCAGUGAGGAAUAUUGGUCAAUGGGCGCGAGCCUGAACCAGCCAAGUAGCGUGAAGGAUGACUGCCCUACGGGUUGUAAACUUCUUUUAUAUGGGAAUAAAAUGUUCCACGUGUGGGAUUUUGUAUGUACCAUAUGAAUAAGGAUCGGCUAACUCCGUGCCAGCAGCCGCGGUAAUACGGAGGAUCCGAGCGUUAUCCGGAUUUAUUGGGUUUAAAGGGAGCGUAGGUGGAUGGUUAAGGCAGUUGUGAAAGUUUGCGGCUCAACCGUAAAAUUGCAGUUGAGACUGGCAGUCUUGAGUACAGUAGAGGUGGGCGGAAUUCGUGGUGUAGCGGUGAAAUGCUUAGAUAGCACGAAGAACUCCGAUUGCGAAGGCAGCUCACUAAACUGCAACUGACACUGAGGCUCGAAAGUGUGGGUAUCAAACAGGAUUAGAUACCCCAGUAGUC